This 161-nucleotide small nuclear RNA is filed under the name Trichobilharzia regenti. RNAcentral's name for it is "U1 spliceosomal RNA". It matches the Rfam family "U1 spliceosomal RNA". From Rfam's summary of the family: U1 is a small nuclear RNA (snRNA) component of the spliceosome (involved in pre-mRNA splicing). Lineage: Eukaryota; Metazoa; Platyhelminthes; Trematoda; Strigeidida; Schistosomatidae. The record is from Rfam by way of RNAcentral.
ACACUUACUUAGCUCCAGGUCUAGGGGGAAUCAAGAAUGCCCUGGUCCUAGGUGGAGGCUCGCCUUUGCACUUCGUCGUGUUGAAACCUGCGACGAUCCCUAAUCUGGCUCGAUUGGACGCGUAGUUUAUGCUAGGGGCGAGGUCUUGGGAUCAUCCAUUU